UUACCCACUCCCAGCACGGGGAGGUAGUGACGAAAAAUAACGAUACGGGACUCAUCCGAGGCCCCGUAAUCGGAAUGAGUAUACUUUAAAACUUUUCCCGAGGAUCAAUUGGAGGGUAAGUCUGGUGCCAGCAGCCGCGGUAAUUCCAGCUCCAAUAGCGUAUAUUAAAGUUGUUGCGGUUAAAAAGCUCGUAGUCGAAUCUGUGUCCCGCGCCGCUGGUUCAUCGCUCGCGGUGUUCAACUGGCGUGUCUCGCGGGACGUCCUGCCGGUGGGCGCUCGUAUCGUUUCGGCGGUGCGUGGCCCAACUCGUAGCCGUCUCGCGCGGUUGCGAAUCCCAUCGCGGUGCUCUUUAUUGAGUGUCGAGGUGGGCCGGCACGUUUACUUUGAACAAAUUAGAGUGCUUAAAGCAGGCCAAUUUUGCCUGAAUAUUGUGUGCAUGGAAUAAUAGAAUAGGACCUCGGUUCUAUUUUGUUGGUUUUCGGAACCCCGAGGUAAUGAUUAAUAGGAACGGAUGGGGGCAUUCGUAUUGCGACGUUAGAGGUGAAAUUCUUGGAUCGUCGCAAGACGGACAGAAGCGAAAGCAUUUGCCAAAAACGCUUUCAUUGAUCAAGAACGAAAGUUAGAGGUUCGAAGGCGAUCAGAUACCGCCCUAGUUCUAACCAUAAACGAUGCCAGCUAGCGAUCCGCCGACGUUCCUCCGAUGACUCGGCGGGCAGCUUCCGGGAAACCAAAGCUUUUGGGUUCCGGGGGAAGUAUGGUUGCAAAGCUGAAACUUAAAGGAAUUGACGGAAGGGCACCACCAGGAGUGGAGCCUGCGGCUUAAUUUGACUCAACACGGGACACCUUACCAGGCCCGGACACCGGAAGGAUUGACAGAUUGAGAGCUCUUUCUUGAUU
Molecule: ribosomal RNA, 897 nt
Filed under: Atheta graminicola
Lineage: Eukaryota; Metazoa; Arthropoda; Insecta; Coleoptera; Staphylinidae
Description: SSU rRNA
Rfam family: Eukaryotic small subunit ribosomal RNA
Source: RNAcentral